GAUGAACGCUGGCGGCACGCCUAACACAUGCAAGUCGAACGAUUAAAGCACCUUCGGGUGUGUAUAAAGUGGCGAACGGCUGAGUAACACGUGGGCAACCUGCCCCUUUCAUUGGGAUAGCCACGGGAAACCGUGGAUAAUACCGAAUACUUCGAGACUUCCGCAUGGAAGACUCGAGAAAGCUCCGGCGGAGAGGGAUGGGCCCGCGGCCUGUUAGCUUGUUGGUGGGGUAACGGCCUACCAAGGCAAUGAUGGGUAGCUGGGUUGAGAGACCGACCAGCCAGAUUGGGACUGAGACACGGCCCAGACUCCUACGGGAGGCAGCAGUGGGGAAUCUUGCACAAUGGGCGAAAGCCUGAUGCAGCGACGCCGCGUGCGGGAUGAAGGCCUUCGGGUUGUAAACCGCUUUCAGCAGGGACGAGGCGAAAGUGACGGUACCUGCAGAAGAAGCCCCGGCUAACUACGUG
RNAcentral lists this ribosomal RNA (467 nucleotides) under uncultured bacterium. RNAcentral's name for it is "partial 16S ribosomal RNA". It matches the Rfam family "Bacterial small subunit ribosomal RNA", at positions 28 to 507 of the family's 1533-position model. The record is from RNAcentral.